This 424-nucleotide ribosomal RNA is filed under the name uncultured Rummeliibacillus sp. Its description in RNAcentral is "bacterial SSU rRNA". It matches the Rfam family "Bacterial small subunit ribosomal RNA", at positions 356 to 774 of the family's 1533-position model. Lineage: Bacteria; Bacillati; Bacillota; Bacilli; Caryophanales; Caryophanaceae. The record is from RNAcentral.
AGGGAAUCUUCCACAAUGGACGAAAGUCUGAUGGAGCAACGCCGCGUGAGUGAUGAAGGUUUUCGGAUCGUAAAACUCUGUUGUAAGGGAAGAACCAGUACGUCAGGCAAUGGACGUACCUUGACGGUACCUUAUUAGAAAGCCACGGCUAACUACGUGCCAGCAGCCGCGGUAAUACGUAGGUGGCAAGCGUUGUCCGGAAUUAUUGGGCGUAAAGCGCGCGCAGGUGGUUUCUUAAGUCUGAUGUGAAAGCCACGGCUUAACCGUGGAGGGCAAUGGAAACCGGGGGGCUUGAGGGGAAGAGGGGAAAGGGGAAUUUCAAGUGUAGCGGUGAAAUGCGUAGAGAUUUGGGGGAAAACCAGUGGCGAAGGGGAAUUUCUGGUCUGGAACUGAAGGUGAGGCGCGAAAGCAUGGGGAGCAAACA